RNAcentral lists this ribosomal RNA (975 nucleotides) under Laccaria bicolor. RNAcentral describes it as "eukaryotic LSU rRNA". It matches the Rfam family "Eukaryotic large subunit ribosomal RNA", at positions 44 to 1006 of the family's 3401-position model. Lineage: Eukaryota; Fungi; Basidiomycota; Agaricomycetes; Agaricales; Hydnangiaceae. The record is from RNAcentral.
CAAUAAGCGGAGGAAAAGAAACUAACAAGGAUUCCCCUANUAACUGCGACUGAAGCGGGAAAAGCUCAAAUUUAAAAUCUGGCACUCUUUGGCUGUCCGAGUUGUAAUCUAGAGAAGUAUUAUCCGCGCUGGACCGUGUACAAGUCUCCUGGAAUGGAGCGUCAUAGAGGGUGAGAAUCCCGUCUUUGACACGGACUGCCAGGGCUUUGUGAUAUGCUCUCAAAGAGUCGAGUUGUUUGGGAAUGCAGCUCAAAAUGGGUGGUAAAUUCCAUCUAAAGCUAAAUAUUGGCGAGAGACCGAUAGCGAACAAGUACCGUGAGGGAAAGAUGAAAAGAACUUUGGAAAGAGAGUUAAACAGUACGUGAAAUUGCUGAAAGGGAAACGCUUGAAGUCAGUCGCGUUGGCCAGGGAUCAACCUUGCUUUUGCUUGGCUUACUUUCUGGUCGAUGGGUCAGCAUCAAUUUUGACUGGUGGAAAAAGUUCAAGGGAAUGUGGCAUCUUCGGAUGUGUUAUAGCCUUUGUUCACAUACAUUGGUUGGGAUUGAGGAACUCAGCACGCCGCAAGGCCGGGUUUUUAACCACGUACGUGCUUAGGAUGCUGGCAUAAUGGCUUUAAUCGACCCGUCUUGAAACACGGACCAAGGAGUCUAACAUGCCUGCGAGUAUUUGGGUGAAAAACCCGAGUGCGUAAUGAAAGUGAAAGUUGAGAUCCCUGUCGUGGGGAGCAUUGACGCCCGGAUCUGACCUUUUGUGACGAUUCUGCGGUAGAGCAUGUAUGUUGGGACCCGAAAGAUGGUGAACUAUGCCUGAAUAGGGUGAAGCCAGAGGAAACUCUGGUGGAGGCUCGUAGCGAUUCUGACGUGCAAAUCGAUCGUCAAAUUUGGGUAUAGGGGCGAAAGACUAAUCGAACCAUCUAGUAGCUGGUUCCUGCCGAAGUUUCCCUCAGGAUAGCAGAAACUCAUUUCAGAUUUAUGU